AGUGAACGCUGGCGGUAGGCCUAACACAUGCAAGUCGAACGGCAGCACAGUAAGAGCUUGCUCUUACGGGUGGCGAGUGGCGGACGGGUGAGGAAUACAUCGGAAUCUACUUUUUCGUGGGGGAUAACGUAGGGAAACUUACGCUAAUACCGCAUACGACCUACGGGUGAAAGCAGGGGAUCUUCGGACCUUGCGCGAUUGAAUGAGCCGAUGUCGGAUUAGCUAGUUGGCGGGGUAAAGGCCCACCAAGACGACGAUCCGUAGCUGGUCUGAGAGGAUGAUCGGCCACACUGGAACUGAGACACGGUCCAGACUCCUACGGGAGGCAGCAGUGGGGAAUAUUGGACAAUGGGCGCAAGCCUGAUCCAGCCAUACCGCGUGGGUGAAGAAGGCCUUCGGGUUGUAAAGCCCUUUUGUUGGGAAAGAAAAGCAGCAGGUUAAUACCCCGCUGUUCUGACGGUACCCAAAGAAUAAGCACCGGCUAACUUCGUG
This 492-nucleotide ribosomal RNA is filed under the name uncultured bacterium. RNAcentral describes it as "partial 16S ribosomal RNA". It matches the Rfam family "Bacterial small subunit ribosomal RNA", at positions 29 to 507 of the family's 1533-position model. The record is from RNAcentral.